UACGGAGGGGGCAAGCGUUGUUCGGAAUUACUGGGCGUAAAGGGCGCGCAGGCGGCUGCUCAAGUCAGGCGUGAAAGGCCUGGGCUCAACCCGGGAAUUGCGCUUGAGACUGGGCUGGCUUGAGUGCGGGAGAGGAUGGUGGAAUUCCCAGUGUAGAGGUGAAAUGCGUAGAUAUUGGGAGGAACACCAGUGGCGAAGGCGGCUCACUGGACUGGUACUGACGCUGAGGCGCGAAAGCGUGGGGAGCAAACAGG
This 254-nucleotide ribosomal RNA is filed under the name uncultured bacterium. Its description in RNAcentral is "partial 16S ribosomal RNA". It matches the Rfam family "Bacterial small subunit ribosomal RNA", at positions 524 to 776 of the family's 1533-position model. The record is from RNAcentral.